RNAcentral lists this long non-coding RNA (278 nucleotides) under Elaeis guineensis (African oil palm). Its description in RNAcentral is "long non-coding RNA (EGUI_LNC025950)". The record is from RNAcentral. Lineage: Eukaryota; Viridiplantae; Streptophyta; Magnoliopsida; Arecales; Arecaceae.
UCAUCUACUCAUCAAUGUUGAAUAACUAUUCUACUGAAUAAGUUCAUAAAUCAAGACAAGUCCUAGAGUUUAAUUAAGUAGGUGUUGGAGAUCUCUUAAUGGCCCAAAGUAAUUGUAAAGAGCACCUAAUAAAAUCUAAUUCAAGCAAAAAAUGACAUAGGUUCUUAUCCUCCUCAUGUCUGAAACUUGAUGCUUCUACCAAUCCAAACAAUUUUAUCUGAUCUAUUUUGUAAUUGAUCAAUUACAAGAUUCCUAACUAAACUACUAAGCUCUAACCC